CCAAGGAGUCUAACAUGUGCGCGAGUCAUUGGGUCUAUUAAAACCUAAAGGCGUAAUGAAAGUGAAGGUCGUCCUUAGCGUCGACUAAGGGAGGAUGGCUCGCGUCACGAUGCGAGCCCGCACUCCCGGGGCGUCUCGUGCUCAUCGCGAGCAGAGGCGCACCCAGAGCGUACACGUUGGGACCCGAAAGAUGGUGAACUAUGCCUGGUCAGGACGAAGUCAGGGGAAACCCUGAUGGAGGUCCGUAGCGAUUCUGACGUGCAAAUCGAUCGUCGGAACUGGGUAUAGGGGCGAAAGACUAAUCGAACCAUC
Molecule: ribosomal RNA, 312 nt
Filed under: Encarsia sophia
Lineage: Eukaryota; Metazoa; Arthropoda; Insecta; Hymenoptera; Aphelinidae
Description: eukaryotic LSU rRNA
Rfam family: Eukaryotic large subunit ribosomal RNA
Source: RNAcentral